GACGAACGCUGGCGGCGUGCCUAAUACAUGCAAGUUGAGCGCUGAAGGUUGGUUCUUGUACCGACUGGAUGAGCAGCGAACGGGUGAGUAACGCGUGGGGAAUCUGCCUUUGAGCGGGGGACAACAUUUGGAAACUAAUGCUAAUACCGCAUAAAAACUUUAAACACAAGUUUUAAGUUUGAAAGAUGCAAUUGCAUCACUCAAAGAUGAUCCCGCGUUGUAUUAGCUAGUUGGUGAGGUAAAGGCUCACCAAGGCGAUGGUACAUAGCCGACCUGAGAGGGAGAUCGGCAACAAUGGGACUGAGACACGGCCCAAGCUCCUACGGGAAGCAGCAGUAGGGAAUCUUCGGAAAAGGACGAAAGGCUGAACGAGCAACGCCGCGUGAGUGAAGAAGGUUUUCGGAUCGUAAAACUCUGUUGGUAGAGAAGAACGGGGGGGAGAGUGGAAAGCUCAUCAAGUGACGGUAACUACCCAGAAAGGGACGGCUAACUACGUG
Molecule: ribosomal RNA, 497 nt
Filed under: uncultured bacterium
Lineage: Bacteria
Description: partial 16S ribosomal RNA
Rfam family: Bacterial small subunit ribosomal RNA
Source: RNAcentral